UGGCAUUGUCCUAAGUCAAGCCCUUUUAACUUUGACCAUUUUUUAAGAAUAUAUUAACAUGUACAAGUUCAAAAAACUGCAUUAUCAAAACAUAUUUCAUAUAGAAUUUAAUGAGCCUAAUUUGAUGCUGUAGAUGUUGGUAUAUUUUCUAUAAAACUUGCUCAGAGGUAGAGAAAUUUGACUUAGGACAAAGCCAA
Molecule: microRNA precursor, 197 nt
Filed under: Sorghum bicolor (sorghum)
Lineage: Eukaryota; Viridiplantae; Streptophyta; Magnoliopsida; Poales; Poaceae
Description: MIR1435 microRNA precursor family
Rfam family: MIR1435 microRNA precursor family
Source: Rfam by way of RNAcentral